This 430-nucleotide ribosomal RNA is filed under the name bacterium. Its description in RNAcentral is "partial 16S ribosomal RNA". It matches the Rfam family "Bacterial small subunit ribosomal RNA", at positions 355 to 776 of the family's 1533-position model. The record is from RNAcentral.
UGGGGAAUAUUGGACAAUGGGCGGAAGCCUGAUCCAGCCAUGCCGCGUGUGUGAAGAAGGCCUUUUGGUUGUAAAGCACUUUAAGCGAGGAGGAGGCUACUUGGACUAAUACUCUAGGAUAGUGGACGUUACUCGCAGAAUAAGCAGCGGCUAACUCUGUGCCAGCAGCCGCGGUAAUACAGAGGGUGCGAGCGGUAAUCGGAUUUACUGGGCGUAAAGCGUGCGUAGGCGGCUUCUUAAGUCGGAUGUGAAAUCCCUGAGCUUAACUUAGGAAUUGCAUUCGGUACUGGGAAGCUAGAGUAUGGGAGAGGAUGGUAGAAUUCCAGGUGUAGCGGUGAAAUGCGUAGAGAUCUGGAGGAAUACCGAUGGCGAAGGCAGCCAUCUGGCCUAAUACUGACGCUGAGGUACGAAAGCAUGGGGAGCAAACAGG